AGAGAUUGCAUGAGUGUCAGAAGAGACUUUGAAUUUUGGACUUUUAACACUAUUGAGACUGUUAGACCAUGGGAGCUUUUGAAGUUGAACUAAAUGUAUUUUGCAUUAUGUUAUGGCUAGGUAUGACCCCCAUAGACUCAUAUGUUUGAACAAGCCAGGAAGUGAUAUGGUUUAAAUAUGUUUGGUCCAGAGAGUGACUCUAUUAGGAGGUGUUGCCUUUUUGCUGGAAGUGGGCCACUGUGGGAGUGGGCAAUGAGACCCUCUCCUCCCUAGCUGUCUGAAGUUAGUCUCUCCUGUUUGCCUUCAAGAUACCAACAAGAUACCUAGAACUCUCAGCUCCUCCAAUGCCAUGCCUACUUGGAUGCUGCCAUGCUUCCCACCAUGAUGAUAAUAGACUGAAGACAAACUAAGACAAGCAGGGAAGGUUUGCUCCUGACUGAGAAGCCAUGGUCAGCUGACAGUGUUGCAAGGAGGAGGAGUCGGUCUUAUUUAUGAGUAUAGCCUCUAGCAGCCAUCUAAAGUGGCCUGGGAUGGAAGGUCUGCAGCGUUGCCACAUGUAUGAGCCAGUGGACCCACAGUGAAGAGGGUGAAUGAGUUCCGUGGAGGUUCAGACACAUCUGUGGCCAUCAGAAGGAGCAAAACUAAGAAACCGAAAGGAGCCUUUGCUUCAGGUCCUGGUGUUCAUUCUGUUCGUCUCAAUGAACACAAUCACGGGUCAAUCCAUGCUUCAAGUGUUCAGCAGCCAGUGUCGCCCACGACCUUCACCUCGGAGACAGAGCUCUAGACAAGAAUCUGACUCAAUAUUCGUCGUAUGAGCAAUCUUUAAGGUAUUGGAGACCAUGCUCCCUGGGUCUGCACAUCAUACAAGACCUGAAGAGAAUACAGGUGUUGAGCAGUUGGAUUUGGGUGCUGACAACUGGGACCGGUGACAUGAAUCCAUCAAGAGGACAGCUCAGCCAAGACCUAAGUUGUUUCCUACGAGACCUUUAAGAGGAGGGGGGCCUGGGUGCCUAUAGAGGGGAGAGUCAGCUGAUACCAUUUGAGCUUAAACACAAAACAAGUAAGAUAUGCAGCAGCAUAUGUCCUUGGUGACUUUUACUUUGGAUAUUUAGAGCAUGUUUUCAGGAGCCACUAGGGUGCUGAGACUACUCAAACCAAAGCUUGUAAGGUAGGGCCAGAAAAGUCAGAGCCUUCAACACGGAGAACGGAAACCCCAGCUUUCUGAAGCCAGGUAAGACUUCACUGUCAGAUAGCAUCAGCUUCACUCCGGUCACCAAAGAAAACAGCAUGGAGAUCCAUGGCCAGGAAUCCCGGGUGCUAGAUUUCCUGAAGUUAACGGAGGAGAACCCCAUACCCAGUCAGCCACAGUCAAGCAGAAGGGUUGUUUGGGUGAAAGAAAGCUUGUCACCCUGGGCAUUUAAGCAGAGUCCCCAUGAGCCUUGUGUGGGUGUGUAUCAGAUGGAAAGUCAGUCCCUUACAGCCCCAGCCUCCAUGUUCAAGAAGCCUAACUUGAACCAAAGCCGCAAUUCUCUUCCUUCCUCCUCCUGUCCCCUGGUUAGAUUGAAGGUUUGUACCCUGGGAUUGUAUAGGAGAGGCCAGCAACUCCUGAACAACUUGCUCCCAAUGUUGAGGUCCUGAUAUUCAAUGUCUAGUCAUCAAUUUAAGACAAAAAUGCAUGCACAGAACUCUAGGUGGGUACCUGACUCUUCACCAGGUUCCUCUCACCCAGAGGUUCUCAACCUGUGGGUCUCGACCCCUCUGGAGUCACAUGUCAGACAUUUUGUGUAUUAGUUAUUUAUAUCAUGAUUUAUAACUAGCAAAAUCACAGUUAAGAAGUAGCAGUGAAAUAAGUUCGUGGUUGGGGGUCACCACAACAUGAAGUAUCAAAGGCAUUAGGAAUGUUGAGAACUGCUGAUCUAACCAAAAUGACUAAAACUCUCUCUUUGGUUCCUUCCAAAAGCAUCAGUGACCAUCACUCAGGAUCAGUGCCAAUACCACCCGAUGAUGAGUCACUCUACACUUCAGAAAACCAAACCAGGCAACCUAAUGUUGAGAAGCACACUGGGAGAUCUAUGCUGUAUUAUUUUGCUGGCUCUCUCUCUCAUUCGGACUUCUUCCAAAGCUACAGGCAAGGUGUCAACAGACAGUGGCCUCUGGGUCCUUGAUGCU
Molecule: small RNA, 2169 nt
Filed under: Rattus norvegicus (Norway rat)
Lineage: Eukaryota; Metazoa; Chordata; Mammalia; Rodentia; Muridae
Description: uncharacterized LOC102548080
Source: RNAcentral